Long non-coding RNA from Pezoporus flaviventris, 246 nucleotides. RefSeq lists it as uncharacterized. NCBI's taxonomy places the organism in Eukaryota, Metazoa, Chordata, Aves, Psittaciformes, Psittacidae. The record is from RefSeq and is a predicted model, not a curated record. The transcript has 3 exons.
CAGCACGCUUCACUUUCACCAUGUACACAGUGAUCUGAUCUCAGCUUGUUUGCUCUGAUGAUGUUGAUAUCUGAAGUGAAUUGCGAUCAGUGUUCAUGUUGAGAAGAAAGUUGGCUAGAAGUGAGGAUGUAACCCAAGUGCAGUAUUUUUCAACAAAGGCAAUCUGUGGCAAAAGAAGCAAACUGAGGAGAUAGCAUUAUCUAAAUGAUAUGAGGAAAAGCAGUGGGACAUCCAAGUGAGCCACAU